ACAAAGGCCCUUUUCAGGGCCCCCCAUCUUUUCAUCUGAGGAGCUG
Non-coding RNA from Sus scrofa (pig), 46 nucleotides. NCBI's taxonomy places the organism in Eukaryota, Metazoa, Chordata, Mammalia, Artiodactyla, Suidae. The record is from Rfam.